Vespula vulgaris is the source of this 846-nucleotide long non-coding RNA. RefSeq lists it as uncharacterized. Lineage: Eukaryota; Metazoa; Arthropoda; Insecta; Hymenoptera; Vespidae. The transcript is spliced from 3 exons. The record is from RefSeq and is a predicted model, not a curated record.
GAGAGAGAGAGAGAGAGAGAGAGAGAGAGAGAGAGAGAGAGAGAGAGUGAGAUGGAUGGUUUAGGAACGUGGAAUCGUUGUUGGAUCGUAUGGUUCGGCAUUGCGGCGAGAUUAACUCGAUAUUACGAGGAGGGAAAUACGCCGAUAGCGUUCGAAACGUCGGAUGGUCAAAGGAGGUGAUGGUGGAGGUGGAGAUAGUGAAGGAGGAUGAGGAGGAGGAGGAGAAGGUGGUAGUGGUAGUGGUGGUAGUGGUCGUGGAGAUGGAGGUGGAGGCCUUACAAAGAUAGCUCGUUUUCAAAUUGGCUCUGAGAGCCAAUGAUCGUUCGAGCACGUAAUCGAUGUAAUUUAAUGAAUGACGGGCCGGUUUGCGCUCGAGCACACUCGUGAAGGAGAAGCCAUAGUGAGAGCCUGUAUUACGCGUACCAUAUCUAUCUAUGCAUAGAGAAGAGGACUGUCGAAUAGGCGCAGCCCGAUGUCAGUCAAGGAAUUAAUCCACGAGACAAGAUGUGAGGACGGGACUCCCAGAAACCCUUGGGAAUCGUCGAGAUGGUUCCAUGAUUCGAUGAAUGGCGAAGAGAGAACGAGAAAGAAGGGAAGAAAAGAGAUUAUAUAUAUAUAUAUUUUAUACAUAUGUGUGUGUGUGUGUGUGUAUAUAUAUAUAUAUAUAUAUAUAUAAAAUAUAUAUACAUAAAGUUCCAGGUGGUCGCACGCUAACUGGCAAUAUCCGCAUGGAGCUGCGAGAAAAUCCAUUCACCGAUAUCUUCGUGUUCUCUAGCGCGUCUACUCCACUUCGUUAGGACUCAUCGAGGCAAGGAGAAACGAUGAGAAUGGUGGAAGAGGAGGAGA